GAUGAAGAACGCAGCGAAAUGCGAUAAGUAGUGUGAAUUGCAGAAUUCAGUGAAUCAUCGAAUCUUUGAACGCACCUUGCGCCCUUUGGCUAUUCCGAAGGGCAUGCCUGUUUGAGUAUCAUGAACACCUCAACUCUUCAUGGUUUUCCAUGAUGAGCUUGGACUUUGGGGGUCUUGCUGGCCUGUGGGUCGGCUCCUCUCAAAUGAAUCAGCUUGCCGGUUUUUGGUGGGCAUCACAGGUGUGAUAACUAUCUACGCUUGUGGUUUUCCACCAGGGUAACCUUCAGCAGUGGAGGUUCACUGGAGCUUACAAAUGUCUCUCCUCUGUGAGGACAGCCCUUUGAAUGUUUGAUCUCAAAUCAGGUAGGACUACCCGCUGAACUUAAGCAUAUCAAUAAGCGGAGGA
RNAcentral lists this unclassified non-coding RNA (406 nucleotides) under soil metagenome. Its description in RNAcentral is "partial contains 5.8S ribosomal RNA, internal transcribed spacer 2, and large subunit ribosomal RNA". The stretch from base 1 to 121 matches the Rfam family "5.8S ribosomal RNA", at positions 35 to 154 of the family's 154-position model. The record is from RNAcentral.